AUUGAACGCUGGCGGCAUGCUUUACACAUGCAAGUCGAACGGCAGCACGAGUGCUUGCACUUGGUGGCGAGUGGCGAACGGGUGAGUAAUACAUCGGAACGUGUCCUAAAGUGGGGGAUAACGCAUCGAAAGAUGUGCUAAUACCGCAUAAUCUCUAAGGAGAAAAGUAGGGGAUCGAAAGACCUUAUGCUUUUGGAGCGGCCGAUGUCUGAUUAGCUAGUUGGUGGGGUAAUGGCCUACCAAGGCGACGAUCAGUAGCUGGUCUGAGAGGAUGGCCAGCCACACUGGGACUGAGACACGGCCCAGACUCCUACGGGAGGCAGCAGUGGGGAAUUUUGGACAAUGGGCGCAAGCCUGAUCCAGCAAUGCCGCGUGAGUGAAG
Molecule: ribosomal RNA, 382 nt
Filed under: uncultured bacterium
Lineage: Bacteria
Description: bacterial SSU rRNA
Rfam family: Bacterial small subunit ribosomal RNA
Source: RNAcentral